GAUGGAACUUCAAUUGUAGAAUGGAAUAUAGAUGGACUUUAUGAUUAUCAAAUCAAGAAUGUCAUUCAAUUCAUGACCAUGUACGCAAUAGCCGCAAGAGUUAAAGGGAAUAAUACUGAUCAAGCAAUAGCAAAAGCUAUCAUUGCUGGCUUUACUGGUCAAUUAAGAGGUUGGUGGGACUUUUCCUUAUCAGAAGAAGGAAA
RNAcentral lists this unclassified non-coding RNA (203 nucleotides) under Hevea brasiliensis (rubber tree). Lineage: Eukaryota; Viridiplantae; Streptophyta; Magnoliopsida; Malpighiales; Euphorbiaceae. The record is from RNAcentral.